UACGUAGGGGGCAAGCGUUGUCCGGAAUCAUUGGGCGUAAAGCGCGUGUAGGCGGCUCGGUAAGUCUGCUGUGAAAGUCCAGGCUCAACCCUGGGAUGCCGGUGGAUACUGUCGAGCUCGAGUCCGGAAGAGGCGAGUGGAAUUCCUGGUGUAGCGGUGAAAUGCGCAGAUAUCAGGAGGAACACCAAUGGCGAAGGCAGCUCGCUGGGACGUGACUGACGCUGAGGAGCGAAAGCGUGGGGAGCGAACAGG
RNAcentral lists this ribosomal RNA (252 nucleotides) under uncultured bacterium. RNAcentral's name for it is "partial 16S ribosomal RNA". It matches the Rfam family "Bacterial small subunit ribosomal RNA", at positions 524 to 776 of the family's 1533-position model. The record is from RNAcentral.